UGGAAACCAGUGAAGAGCAAAAUCCCCUCUCUGCCCCAGUUUACCUUCCAACCCUCUCUCUUUCGUGCUUUCUUCCUUCCUUCCCUACAGACAACCGAACAGCGACAAUUCUCAGCAAUCCGCUAUUUUGCUUCACUGAGGAUGGGGGAGGGGGAGGAUCUAGUGAAAAGUGGAAAAGCAAAUAGAGAAGCAACAGCGGAAAGAGUAUCGAGUAGGGGAAAGAGAGGUCAUAGUGAGGAGACAGGGUGAAGAAGAGUGUAAGAAAAUCGAAGGAGAGUCAUCGGAGGAGAACUUGCUAAGGAAAACAAACAGAUGGAGGGGGGCAGGUAAUGAGGGGAGAGGGAGCGAGGGGCAGAUGGAGCAACCGAGGGCGAAAACAGGCUGGACGGAAGUUACGGAGCCAGGGCCGGGACGCCCGGGCUUUGGGGCCAGCGACCGGAGACCAAGAGCAGCAGCUCUGAGACUGCUCAGUACAAUGACUCAAGCAGAAAUUAAACUGUGUUCUUUGUUGCUGCAAGAGCAUUUUGGAGAGAUUGUAGAAAAAAUUGGAGUCCACCUAAUCAGAACUGGCAGCCAGCCACUAAGAGUAAUUGCCCAUGACACAGGAACAUCACUGGAUCAGGUAAAAAAAGCCCUUUGUGUCCUCAUCCAACAUAACCUGGUGAUAUAUCAAGUGCACAAACGUGGUGUGGUGGAGUAUGAAGCCCAGUGCAGCCGGGUGUUGCGUAUGCUUCGGUAUCCCCGGUACAUCUAUACUGCCAAGACACUGUACAGUGACACUGGGGAGCUGAUUGUUGAGGAGCUACUGUUGAAUGGCAAAAUGACAAUGUCAGCUGUUGUGAAGAAAGUGGCAGACCGGCUCACAGAGACUAUGGAGGAUGGCAAGACCAUGGACUAUGCUGAGGUGUCAAACACAUUUGUGCGACUAGCAGACACACACUUCGUGCAGCGCUGCCCCUUCGUGCCUGCCACUGAGAAUUCAGACCCUGGGCCACCGCCACCUGCCCCCACUCUUGUCAUCAAUGAAAAGGACAUGUACCUGGUUCCUAAACUGAGCUUGAUAGGGAAAGGUAAAAGGAGGAGAUCAUCUGACGAAGAUGCUACCGGAGAGCCCAAGGCCAAGAGACCAAAACAUACAGCAGAUAACAAAGAGCCCAUUCCAGAUGAUGGGAUUUAUUGGCAGGCCAACCUUGACAGAUUCCACCAGCACUUCCGUGACCAAGGCAUUGUCAGUGCAGUUGCCAACAGGAUGGACCAGACCAGCAGCGAGAUUGUGCGGACCAUGCUCCGGAUGAGUGAGAUUACCACUCCCUCCAAUGCCCCCUUCACCCAGCCAUUGUCUUCCAAUGAGAUCUUCAGAUCCUUGCCUGUUGGCUAUAACAUCUCUAAGCAGGUUCUUGAUCAGUAUCUCACUCUGCUGGCAGAUGAUCCACUUGAGUUUGUUGGAAAGUCUGGCGACAGUGGUGGAGGAAUGUAUGUCAUCAACCUGCAUAAGGCUCUAGGAUCCCUAGCCACAGCCACUCUGGAGUCUGUCGUACAGGAGAGAUUUGGGUCUCGCUGUGCCAGAAUAUUCCGUUUAGUUUUGCAAAAGAAACACCUGGAGCAGAAGCAGGUAGAAGACUUUGCAAUGAUUCCAGCAAAGGAGGCAAAGGAUAUGCUUUAUAAGAUGCUCUCAGAAAAUUUCAUAUCACUCCAGGAAAUUCCCAAAACGCCAGACCAUGCUCCAUCCAGGACCUUCUAUUUAUAUACUGUGAACAUCCUGUCAGCUGCCCGAAUGUUGCUGCACAGGUGCUACAAGAGCAUAGCCAACUUGAUAGAAAGGAGGCAAUUCGAAACCAAAGAGAAUAAACGCCUACUAGAAAAGUCUCAGAGGGUAGAAGCCAUCAUUGCAUCCAUGCAGGCUACGGGUGCAGAGGAGGCACAGCUACAAGAAAUAGAGGAGAUGAUCACAGCCCCUGAACGCCAGCAACUAGAGACCCUGAAACGUAAUGUCAACAAGUAAGCAUCAGAAACUUCAAACCCGUGUUUCAAAAUACCUUCCAGACAAAUCUGCCUCGACUUCCUGCUGCCCCUCCAACUUAACAAGAACAAACCUAAACUCAUUAUCUUCUUCCCCAGGUUGGAUGCCAGUGAGAUUCAGGUGGAUGAAACCAUCUUCCUACUGGAGUCAUACAUUGAGAGCACUAUGAAGAGACAAUGACGCAGAAGAAGAGUCUUCCUCAAAAGAUCUGGGGGUAGAUUAGAUGGAAAAAUAAAGGAGGUGCAUAGAUGCAUUCUUUGCAGUGGAAUAAGUUGCAAAUUUUUGUACUGAAACCCUCUCCCUAUCACUACCACUCAGAAUACAGCAGAAAGAGUUUGACAUUUUUUAAAGUUUGCUGAUCCUGUUUUAAACCCUUCACUAUAUUUUCCCCUCAUCAAAUCUUAACAGGUGAAAAAACCUUAAAUCAAUCAUCUAUCAGAUGCAUCACUUCCCAUCAAGAACAGCCAAGCCUGUAUUUGAACAUCCCUGGCAACAGAAGAGACUUCUUCCUGAGCAGUUCACUCCAUUUUCAAAAGGCUACAUCUGUUCUUUAUUUUGUCAAGCUGUAAUCUUACACACACACACACACACACACACACACACACUCAAUGUAGAGAAUGUGAAAGACUACCACAGAGAGAGGAUAAAAGCUAUUUUCAGGGCCAGCAGGUGGAUUGGCCCAAGCAGUCACACUAGAAUCUAUGGAUAGAAGCCACAUUUGCCAAGGCCACACUUCUAGCACAGCUGAAAUUAUGUAUGUAAAACACUUAGCACAAUGCUUGGCAUAUGGUAAGCACUCAAUAAAUCAUUGCCUUCCUCUUCCCCAUGGUUCCUUACAGUGGCAAUCCUAAGUUCCCUCUCUCAGUACCAUAGAUAGAUGAUUGAUCUAGUUGAUGUAAUUUGUCCCAGUAGCUUCAGUUCAUUUAAAGCAGAUAGUUUUAUAAUCUCUUCAGUUUGCUCUCACCAAUUAGUUCUAAUUCAUUAAACAUUUGAGUGCCAAUUAAUUGCCAGCCACUGUACUACAUAUAAUAAACAAAGAUAAAAAGAUAUCUCUGCCUUCAAGCCACUCACCAUCAUUUCGGGCCUUUGGGAUACAAAGAUGAAUAAGCCUUGAGCAUACAGCCUAGUGGGAGGAGACAACUAAGUACAAGGAUGUACUGGGGGGCUAGCAUGGAAAAGGGUCAGGCAGGAAAGGGAGCACAGAGAAAGUGACACUUAAUCUGUAUUUUGAAGGAUGAGGAUUUGCCAGGUGGAAGAGGAAAAUGAUCCCAGAGGGAAGCAGAGCCUGGUUCUUGGGGGAACUGCAAAUAGGAUAUGACUAGGAAACAGGGCAUAAGACCUGCUAGAAUUGAGGCUGGAGAGAUAGACAGUAGCAAGCACUGGUGGGUCUUUGCUAUGCGGUGCUAAGUAUCUCGUCUUAUGCUGAGAGCAAGGGGAAGCAAAAUGAUCAGAUUUAUGUUUUAGGUCACUCUGGCAGCACUGUAGAGAAUGAAUUGGUAAGGGCAGGACUAUUUGGCGAUUUGCAAUAAUAUUUCAGGCAGAAUAUGAGGAAAGCUUGAACUAGGGCAAUGGAGGCUGGAGAGUAAGACAUGGAUUUGAGGAAGUUUAAGAAGGUAAACUGCACUUGGUUGCCAUUUAAGUAAGAAGAAAGAAAGAGGAGGUGUGAAAAACGUUUCCUGGGUAUCUGGCUAGGAGACAGAUUAAUUCUAGGUGAUACCUGAAACGGAUAGGUGUUAUAGCAGAGCUAUGGACGGGUGC
RNA transcript from Equus quagga, 3778 nucleotides. It is a transcript of the gene named RNA polymerase III subunit C, with no coding region annotated. The record is from RefSeq and is a predicted model, not a curated record. The transcript is spliced from 15 exons. NCBI's taxonomy places the organism in Eukaryota, Metazoa, Chordata, Mammalia, Perissodactyla, Equidae.